GAUGAACGCUGGCGGCGUGCCUAAUACAUGCAAGUCGAGCGAACGGACGAGAAGCUUGCUUCUCUGAUGUUAGCGGCGGACGGGUGAGUAACACGUGGAUAACCUACCUAUAAGACUGGGAUAACUUCGGGAAACCGGAGCUAAUACCGGAUAAUAUUUUGAACCGCAUGGUUCAAAAGUGAAAGACGGUCUUGCUGUCACUUAUAGAUGGAUCCGCGCUGCAUUAGCUAGUUGGUAAGGUAACGGCUUACCAAGGCAACGAGGCAUAGCCGACCUGAGAGGGUGAUCGCCCACACUGGAACUGAGACACGGUCCAGACUCCUACGGGAGGCAGCAGUAGGGAAUCUUCCGCAAUGGGCGAAAGCCUGACGGAGCAACGCCGCGUGAGUGAUGAAGGUCUUCGGAUCGUAAAACUCUGUUAUUAGGGAAGAACAUAUGUGUAAGUAACUGUGCACAUCUUGACGGUACCUAAUCAGAAAGCCACGGCUAACUACGUG
RNAcentral lists this ribosomal RNA (497 nucleotides) under uncultured bacterium. RNAcentral describes it as "partial 16S ribosomal RNA". It matches the Rfam family "Bacterial small subunit ribosomal RNA", at positions 28 to 507 of the family's 1533-position model. The record is from RNAcentral.